AUAACACCUACUUUUAUACAUUAUAUUUUUUGUAAGUGAAUUUGAUUUAAAUGUAUUAUUUCAUUUAAUCUCACAUUAUCGGUUUUACAGAGAGGUGGUUAUCUCUUCCCUGUCACAGGUUGGCUUCCCUAGGAAGCUGACUCUGAAAUGGAGAUUAGCAUACAGGAUGUUUAUCAGGGAGUAUUAUGGGCAUAAACACAUGGAAAAAGAGGAAGCAAAAUUGGACAAAGGGAGAAUUAUAGUCUUGAUGAAGGAUACAGUUGAUCUUAGGGAAGUUCUAAAAUUGACAUGACCCUUUAGAAUUGUCUCAAGUUGUGGGAGAAAGGCAGACUUCAUAUCUUUCCUUGAUGAGUCAUUGGGUAUGGGCUGCCCAAGGAAGGGGGCAAAAUAUUGGGCAAGGGGUGUGUCUCCAACAAAGACAUUUUCUGUAGAAGGCUAAUAGCGGAGACCUGCCUUAGGGAAGUACUUAUAGAAGUUUAAAAAACAAGCCCUUUAUUUCUACAAGGGAUCUGGGCAGCACACUAUCUAUGACAAACACAUUCCAUUAAUUCCUUAGUUUUUGAUAAAGUUUAGAAAUAUUUUUGGAAUAUUUUUAUUUCUGUCAGUUAAAAGAGAACCAACCUUGUAACUAAGACUGACUUAAAUUUUACCUUGGUCCCUGGCUAGUUGUGUAAUUUGGAAUAAACUCAGUAAUUAUUCUGAUACCCAUUUUUUCUUAUAUAAAGUGAAGGAGACUAUAUUUGAUAUAUAACAAAAUUCUAAUAUUUAUAAGUAAAAUUGUGUGGGGUGUGUGGGGGGGUGGAGAGAGAGAGAGAGACAGAGAGAGAGAGAGGAAGGGAGAUGAGCCCUAUUCAGUUAAAAUGAAGAAAAGUAACUAUAUCAACUCACAACAGAUUAGCAAAUGGUGGCCCUGUAUCAUAUUCUACAAAGUAAGGGCAGAUUGUCAGAGGCACUGAGUUAGUUUUACACUGCUACAUAAUAAGCCACCAGACUUCAUGGUUCAAAACAAGCUACAUCCAUUUAUUAGCUCAGAGUUCAGUAGUUCAGAAGUCCAGCCACGUUUCAGCUGGGUUCUCUGGUCAAAGUCUUACAAGACUGAAAUCAAGGUGUCAGUCAGACUGGAGUCUCAUUUGGAAUGUGAAGUCUUUUUUCAAACUUAUUUAAGUUGUUGACAGAAUUUAGUUCAUUGUAGUUUUAGGACUGAGACACUCAGACCCUAAUGAUGAUUCACCUUCACGGAAAUUCAAAAUAUGGCUAUUUGCUUUCUUGUUUGAGGCCAUAGGGAGAAUGUCUCUCUGAUUCUUUGCAUUUUAAAACUCUAGACCCCCAUUUGAUACCUCACCUGAGUAGGACAGACUCUGAUUAGAUAAUUUCCGAUCUGAUUAACUUAACUGAAUGUGGAACUUUAAUUAUAUCUGCUAAAGUCUCUAUUGCAUAUAAUAGAACAUAAUGAUGAGGUUGAUAAUGCAUCAUAUUUACAGGCUUCACCCGUACUCAAAAGCAGUGCAUUAUACACAAUGGGGUAGAAAUCUCAAGGAUUGUCUUGGAAUUCUGCUUGCCAUGGGCACACAGAAAAUCUCAGCGAUAAAGAGGCUGUUGGAGGUAGAGAGGUUGGUCCACUUGUUCUGUCAUGUAAUAACUCUUAGAUACAGGAAAGACCUUGUAAUUAAACAUUUUCCAUCUGAGAUUAACACAGAAAUCCCUAACCAAUAAUUCAACUUGACAAGAACAGAUUAGAUAUUUUUCCUGUGCUGAGUAUGGAUGUAGAGUUGUGAAAUGGAAGACAAGGGAAAUUUAGAAAGAUGUGGAGAUUCAAAGUGUUCAACCUUGUUGCAUUUGCCACAAUAUUUACAUCCUAUUUCUUGGGAUUAUAUUAUUUCCCCAGCAGUGGUUUCUUCUUACUUUGAGACAUAACUGAAUUGAGUAUCUCGUUUGCACUGCAACUGCAAUUUUGACAGUCCAGUCUUGAUAUUGGUCCUCAGUUUAUCUGCUCUGCCACUUUAGGAGAUAAGGGAUUGGUUCAAAGUUACCACCAAGGCUUUCUCGUUUUUGAUUUAUAUUCUGAGUUGGAAUUUCACAGCCUUUAGUUCCUCUUUUUCGUGUGUAAACUACGUAGGACAUCUAGUAAAAGGUAAUGUAUAUACAAUAUUAAUGAUCACUAUUGUUUUUCAACACCUAAACUACCCACAAAAUUUGUGGUUGAUUAUGUUCCCUGUUACAGGCUGUUGCGGGACCAGCCACUGCCAGGGUCACUUCUGUUCUUGUGUUCAGCUCCAGUCACCCGCACCAGUGACCUCUUCUCUGAAGUAAGUUACAGGAUAUCAAAGGAGGAGAGUGAACAUCAUCCAAGGAUUUGGAGUCCUCUUCUGGGAAAAAGGUCAACAAAGAGUUCUUGAGCAUCUGCCAGACCAAGUACAGUUCUAGACAUCAAAGAACCUACAAUGAAUAAAGCAAGUCUCUUUCUUCAGGAAAAUUACAGCAUAAUGUUGUUGCAAUUAAGUUUUUUUCAUGCAUGUAAAACCCUCGUGCAUACAUUUGGCUGAUACAUACUGAACUCUAAAAACACAUUACUACCCAUUUUAGUAAUUAACAUUUGGCAUUCGCCUUGCCUAUGAGAGUUUAGAAGUAAAAGAACUUAUUUUCAGCUCUUAGGCCCUGAUUAUCUCUGGGGGAUCACAAGGACUACUAACUAAAAAAAAUGAGGAGUGGGAGAGUGGAGGGAAGCACAGUAUGGGUGAUUAAUAACAAUUUUGCUAGAGCUCUGUGAAAAGCUGCAUAGAAAGGGUAUUUUAUAUUUGAUGUUUGAGCAGAAUGUGAGGAACAAGAUUUGACAACUAGAUAAGAAUGGAAGGAGUAAUCUGGGCAGAAGGAACAGUAUGAGCACAAGCUGAGAGGUGUGAAGCUUCAUGGCAUGCAUGGAAAACAGCAGCAAAACAGUCUGACAGGAGUAGAAAGCACCAGAGAUGGCAUAGGCAAGGCAAAUUAUGGCAUAUUAUAAACAGCUUCAAGUGCGAUGAUAAGUCAGAAGCUGGAAAUCAUCCUAAAUAUAAUGCAGAAAAAUAUGAAGGUUUUAAAUCAGGAAAUGAGAGAAUCAGGUGUGCACUCUAGAAAUUUAACAGUUAGAAGUACAGAUUGGAGUGUGCAAGCCUGGAGAUGAGCAUGUACAUUAUGAUUUUAGGUAAUAGUUUAGGUAACAUAUAAAGAAGUAGCACAGUGAGGUGAAAGGGUAGAUAGAUUACAAAAUCAUUUCAAAGGAGGAGAAAAAAGAGAUUUGGUGAAAAGAAGUAGAUAAAGAAGAGACUGAGGAAAGCAAAUCUUUCCAAAUCACCUUUUAAUUAUCCUUUUGGAGGUGAUAUUAAAUAUUGAAGGGGUCAAUAGUCCAGAAGGACAGAGAGAGAGAGAAAGGUAGGAAGAAAGAGAGAGAAAGAGCAGAGGUUGAGGGGAGGGAAAAGAUGUUUGGAGAUAGAUGGAUGUGAUGCCAGUAAUUUGGAAAUUAAUAAAUAAAUAUAUAUAUAUAUACACAUAUAUAUUACUAUAUAUGCAUAACAUUUGUCAUCAUUUUGAGAAUGUCUG
Molecule: long non-coding RNA, 3573 nt
Filed under: Homo sapiens (human)
Lineage: Eukaryota; Metazoa; Chordata; Mammalia; Primates; Hominidae
Description: HSALNT0347912
Source: RNAcentral